Molecule: non-coding RNA, 1021 nt
Organism: Parasteatoda tepidariorum (common house spider)
Lineage: Eukaryota; Metazoa; Arthropoda; Arachnida; Araneae; Theridiidae
Source: RefSeq, a predicted model, not a curated record
UGCUAAAAGUCACAGCUGCGAAUAAUAACUUGAAUGUUGAUGCAUCAUGUUUACAAUCAUGUUUCAAUAAACGUUUCAAUUUACAACUGCUAAUUAAUACUUGAAUUUUAUCAUUUUUUCUUCAUUUUUAUUUCAGAUUUGGUGCUGAUUAUGUCAGUUAUUUGAAUCACAAAUUUAGGCUUAUUUUACGAUUUAUACAUAACGUAAUUGAAAUAGGUGGCCGGAAGUGUUUAUAUGAAACUGUAUGAUGAAAAUUUUGUCCUCUGUGCCGCAUUGUUUACCGAAUAAAUAAAUAGUGAUUAUUCGGUGUCCGACCCAUAUAAAUAUUUCGUUUUUUAAUCAAGAAACUUAGUGAUGUCUCUUGAUGCUAACAACGUUGAUGCAGACUUAGAGAAGUUCUUAACUGUUGAAAAAGUGAAAACCCAAUUCCAUGAACAAGUACAUCACAUUACAGACAUAUGCUGGGAUAAAUGCAUUGACAAGCCAAGUUCCAAGUUAGAUAGUCGGUCACAGGCAUGUCUAGUAAAUUGUGUUGAACGGUUCUUAGAUGCCUCUUUAAUGCUUACUAAUCGUUUUGCUCACUUGCUACAAAAUGCACGGACUUAAUUUUCUCAUUUAAUUUUUUAUAUAAGUUUCUAGUUAUUAAACAUGUUAUGAAAGUUAUGUGUGAAUUCAAUCAAUUAAUUUAGGUGAUGAAGUUAGUAUAUUAAUUUUUUAUAAGUCUAAACUAAUUGUUACUUGAUACAUUGGGUAUUCAGAGUUGUAUAAAUCUAUAACGAAGAGUUAAGAUGCAGUUCCUUUUACUUUAACCAAGAGAUCAAAAAGUUAAGGUUGUUUUAAAUGAGAACGAUAAUUAAAAUUGUAAAAAACAUUUUUCAUUUUAAAAGCGUUUUGCCAGUGAAUAUUUUUUAUAUAUAUAAAUUAGUGUAAAUUUUGCAUUUAACUUUGUUAUGUUAAGUGUCCUACUAUAAACAAGAUGUAGAAUUAAGUUUUUCGAGAUUAAAGGAUUUUCGUUUUUGGA